This 460-nucleotide ribosomal RNA is filed under the name uncultured bacterium. Its description in RNAcentral is "partial 16S ribosomal RNA". It matches the Rfam family "Bacterial small subunit ribosomal RNA", at positions 338 to 795 of the family's 1533-position model. The record is from RNAcentral.
CCUACGAGUGGCAGCAGUGAGGAAUAUUGGUCAAUGGACGAGAGUCUGAACCAGCCAAGUAGCGUGAAGGAUGACUGCCCUAUGGGUUGUAAACUUCUUUUAUAAAGGAAUAAAACGAGGCACGUGUGCCUUUUUGCAUGUACUUUAUGAAUAAGGAUCGGCUAACUCCGUGCCAGCAGCCGCGGUAAUACGGAGGAUCCGAGCGUUAUCCGGAUUUAUUGGGUUUAAAGGGAGCGUAGAUGGGUCGUUAAGUCAGUUGUGAAAGGUUGCGGCUCAAACGUAAAAUUGCAGUUGAUACUGGCAGUCUUGAGUACAGGUGAGGUAGGCGGAAUUCGUGGUGUAGCGGUGAAAUGCUUAGAUAUCACGAAGAACCCCGAUUGCGAAGGCAGCUUACUAAACUGUUACUGACAUUGAGGCUCGAAAGUGUGGGUAUCAAACAGGAUUAGAUACCCUAGUAGUC